UUCUGCAUUGCAACUUAAGACAAUGAAAUAACUGAGGAAGGUACACCGCUUGCUGAAAUAAGCAAACUGAGCACUCAGAAAAUAAAACCUAAGUAGAAUUUUACUUCUGUGAAAAUACCUAUUUAUUUGUUGUCUUGGAUUUGGAAUUUGUGUGUGAAUGAGGAAAAAGGAAGUUACUCUGAACGAAAGAAGGCAGUUUUCCUAAAUAUGGUUCAUAGCCCAAGAGAGGAUUAUUUUCACUUCUAAGGUAUUUGGAAAUGCAUUCCACAAGUAACAGUACAGAAAGCUAUUCCAAGACAAAACGCUGUAAAAAAAUGCUAAACGACACCCAAGUGGAAGAUAUUCCUUGCACUGGAAGAGUAAAAAUGAAGAGGAAGCAAACAGGAAAAGACUAUACAGCAGAACCAGGCACUAUUCUAAGAAGCCCCAAAUUACCCAAGAAGCAGAGAAACUAUUCCAAAAAGGGAGAAGACCUUUCUCGAGAUGACCUUUUAUUUCUUUUGAGUGUGCUGGAGGGUGAAUUACAGGCUCAAGAUGAAGUCAUAGGAGUUCUGAAGGCUGAAAAAAUUAACCUAGCUUUACUCGAAGCACAAUAUGGCUUUGUUACUCCAAAAAAGGUCCUUGAGGCACUUCAACGAGAUGCUAUACAGGCCAAGACGACACUAUGGCAGGAGGAUAUCUAUGAAAAACCCAUGGGAGAGCUUGACAAAGUGGUUGAAAAGCAUAAAGAAACACACCGACGUAUGCUAGAGCAACUCUUAAUGGUAGAAAAAUCUCAUAGGCAAACUCUGUAUGAGCUAGAAGAUGAGAAGAGGAAGCAUGCAGAGUACAUGGAGAAAAGUGAUGAAUUUACUAAUUUAUUGGAACAAGAACAAGAAAGAUUAAAAAAACUUAUUGACCAAGAAACAGCCUAUCAGGCAAAAAAAGAGAAGGAAAGCAGCAAGAAAGUAAACAAACUGAAGGAGGAGCUGACAAAACUCAAGUCAUUUGCUUUAAUGGUAGUAGAUGAACAGCAAAGACUUACAGAACAGUUAAGCCAGCAAAGCCAAAAGAUUGAAGAGCUCACUGUUGCUGCAGAAGAAGCUCAUGAGAAGCUCUCCACUGCAGAAACCAAAGCUCAAGAAGAGGAGCAGAAAGUUCUCAAGCUGGAAGCAGAACUUCAGUCACAAAUAGACAAGAUUGCCCAAGAACAGGAAGUUGCAAUGGCCAAACUAACCAAUGAAGAGAGCCAGAAUCGCCAGCUCAGGUUAAAGUUAACAGCUCUCAGUCGACAAAUUGAUGAACUUGAAGAGACUAAUAAAUCCCUACGAAAGGCUGAAGAAGAACUACAAGACCUUAGAGACAAAAUUACUAGAGGUGAGUGUGGAAAUUCUACCCUUAUGUCUGAAGUGGAAGAGCUAAGAAAACGAGUCCUGGAAAUGGAAGGGAAAGAUGAAGAGCUCAUCAAAAUGGAAGAACAGUGUAGAGAACUUAAUAAGAAGCUAGAAAAAGAAGACUCACAAGGCAAGAACUUUAAAGCCGAAGUUGAUAAACUCAACAAGAGAAUAAUGGAGCUUGAGAAACUGGAGGAUGCUUUCAGCAAAAGUAAGCAGGAAUGCCAUGCUCUGAAAUGCAGCCUAGAAAAAGAAAAAAUGUUAACAAAGCAGCUGUCACAAGAACUGGAUGGCUUAAAAGCUCGGCUGGGAGAACUUGAGACCAUAGAAAACAAGCUGGAAAAAACAGAGUUCAUGCUUAAGGAAGAGUUGACUAAACUGAAGUCACUGACAGUAAUGCUAGUUGAUGAGAGGAAAACUUUGAAUGAAAAAAUAAAACAAACUGAAGAAAAGCUACAGGCUACAAAUUCACAGCUUCAGCUAGAGCAAAAAAAAGUAAUGUCAGUUACAGAAAAACUGAUUGAGGAAAGUAAAAAGGCAUUAAAAUCAAAGACUGAUGCUGAGGAGAAAAUGUCCAACCUCACAAAAGAAAGAGAUGAGCUAAAAAACAAACUAAAAGCAGAGGAAGAGAAAGGAAAUGAUCUCUCCUCCAAACUGAAUCUUCUACGGAAAAAGCUUCAAUCCCUAGAAGCCAUUGAAAAAGAAUUCCUCAAAAAUAAACUGAAAGAGACCAGCAAACCUAACUCAGUUUUACAGCAGGAAAACAACAAAAUCAAAGAACUAGGGCAAGAAAUUGAGAGGCUUAAACACAAACUAAAUGAAAUGAAGUCUAUAGAAGAUGAUCUCAUGAAAACAGAAGAUGAAUUUGAAUCUCUAGAACGUAGGUACGUUAAUGAACAAGACAAAGUCCGUUUUUUGUCAGAGGAACUUGAGGUUGUAAAAAGAGAACUGGCUCGGUAUAAGUUAGCAGAAAAGACAGAAUCCAACCAUGAACAAAGACUCUUCAAAAAACUUAAAGAAGAAUCAGCCAAAUCAGGUCAUCUUUCAAGGGAAGUAGAUGCACUGAAAGAAAAAAUUCACGAGUACAUGGCAACAGAAGAUUUAAUAUGUCAUUUAAGGGAAGAUCACGCAAUCCUGCAAAGAAAAUUCACUCACCAAGAAAACAAGAACAAAGAAUUAGUAAGAGAAAUGGAAAUGCUUACCAAAGAACUAGACAGGUACAGGCGUUUCAGUAAGAGCCUCAGACCAAGUCUCAAUGGAAGGAGAAUUUCUGAUUUGCAGGUUUUCUCUAAAGAAGUCCAAACAGAGCCAGCAGAUAAUGAACCACCUGAUUAUAAGAGUCUUGUUCCUUUGGAACGAGCUGUCAUAAAUGGACAUUUAUAUGAAGAGAGUGAUAAUGAAGAAGAUGACAACAAUGAUGAUGAGCAAACGGUGUCUUUCAGAUGCAAUUCAUCUGUUGCAAAUGCAGUAAACAAUAAACUUUGGAUCCCCUGGAUGAAGUCCAAAGAAAGCCAAAUUCAGAAUGGAAAAGUUCAUGCCAAGCAGAAUGGAAACUGCAUUCAACCUGGAAACCUAGUACUAAGUCACACACCGGGCCAACCUCUUCACAUAAAAGUUACUCCAGAUCAUGGUCAAAACACAGCCACUCUUGAAAUAACUAGCCCAGCUGCAGAGAGCUCUCACUCGUUCACUAGUACUGCUGUGAUACCCAACUGUGGCACACCAAAGCAAAGAAUAACCAUCAUUCAAAAUGGAUCUUUAAUGCCUAUAAAAUCUAAAGCAGUUGAUGGUUACUCAAGUCCAGAGCAAACAAUGCCACCUCUUACUAUGGCUACCUUUGCUAGAUCCCAAACACCUGAAUCAUGUGGCUCUGUGACUCCUGAAAGGACAAUGUCUCCUUUAGCUCUGACAAGCUCCAUGAACUCACCAGAGCAAGUACUGUCACCCGAACCCCUAGAAAUUGGUGACAGGCAUGCUAUCUUUAGAGUAUCUCCAGAAAGGCAGUCCUCUUGGCAGUUCCAAAGAUCUAACAGUUCUGGUUCCAGUGUGAUAACUACUGAGGAUAAUAAAAUACAUAUUCAUUUAGGAAGCUCCUAUGUUCAAGCUAUUCCUAAUUCAGCAAAAACUGUCAGCCCCUGCACUCCUGUGCAAGAUAACAGAGCUCCAGCACUGACUAAUGGAACACCAAGUAAACCUAUCAACAAAGUCACCAGUAGCAUUACUAUUACACCAACAGCCACUCCUCUCCCACGACAAUCACAAAUUACAAUCGCUGAUGUCUUCCGUCAAGCAAUUCCUACUCGAAUCCCUAAAUCAAAAGCUAUGACCACAACUGUGGUACCAGUGAAGAUACCUACUGGACAACUCAAGACAUCACUCCAGGACAGUAAGGAUGGAAAAAUGCACAUCACAAGAACCAUACCCAAUGGUGUCACUCAAAAUGGUGGGAAAAAAUAGGUGACUGCUCAGUGUGUCACAAACUGAUGCCUAACUUUUAAUGAAAAAAAUUCUUCCAAGACUUAUGAAACGCCAUUGAUAAGUAGAAAAUAUUUAUUUACGUCAUUUAUAGUCUGCCUUUCUCACUGAGACUCAAGGCAGAUUACACGGCAUAAAUCAAUACAAUCAACAGCAGGGAUGUUCGGUAAACAAUGCAGUAAGGUAAGGAUAUGAUCACACUGGAAGUAUAAUGGCAUCUGGACAUGAAUCUGUUGUCCGUCAAUCCAUACAAUUGUGAGUAACUCAGCUUCUCCAUAUUCCUGAUUUGUAUCCUGUUACAGGACAACAGUAUACCCCUUAAUACGGACUGGGAAAUAAGGUUGCAAAGGACUUCAAAUGCUAACCCAGGGUCUAUUAUCAAUCAACUUUUUCAAGAACAGAUACAAUAUCUUCGGCGAUGAAUUAAGUGAGGAGGAAGAGGAAGGAGAAUCAAGGAGGAAUAGAAGAAGGAAAGGACUCAGAGACUAACUCCUCUUAUCCGGAUGUGAAGAAACAAGAUAAAUAGAAGAAUGAUUCUUACAAGGGACUUCUGCCGAAGAUAUAGAAACUGUAUAUGAACUUAUGGGGAGGGGUUGGGCAAUGGGUAUAUAUGUACGGGAAUAAGGAUGUUUCGAAGGAAAUGCACAAAAAUAUACAAUAAAAAAAAAAGGCUUAAUGGAAUGCAAGGCUCUUAGCAGACUACCUUCAGCCUCCUCAUGUCCUGGAGAUAUGCAGAAAUCUUGACAAUAAAGACAACUGAGAAUUUCUGGUCUCCAUUCUUCCCUUACCUUAUCAAAAGUUAAAUUAUCUCCCCUGGGUCAUUAAAUUACCUGGGUCAUCCAUCAGCACAAGUAUGUUUAUUAACAUUCAUCAAUUCCUUUGGUCCACAUCAGAAACUUUAAGCUAUGCCUCUAUCCCUCUGUUACCUUCAAUAGACAAAUGUCCUGUUUGUUUAUCACCUCCUGGGGAUUAACAUCCCUGUUCUUGUUUCUCUUGGGGAUAAACAUCCCUUUUCUUGUUUUCUCCCGGAGACAACUUUUGAAUUAUUGUUAUUGGAGGCAAGUAGGGCCUUCCUGUCUUAUGGUCCAUUUUACAGUAUAAAUGGUCCGACCUGAGCCCAGUAAGCGUGUGCAGCUUUCAGGGACCCAAAAAGACUGCCACUCUCAGAGCAUCUCUGCAAGAACACUGGCCAUUUCAAACUGCUCUCCUCUGAGGACAACGCUAUUCUUCUAGAUGGUAAUUAUUACCCAAUCCCUGCAUCUCUCUCUCCAAUUUCCCCAAUGCCUUCCUAGAAAUCUGUGCAUGUAGACAGAUUUUAAUUAAUUUAUUUAUUUAUGUCAUUUAUAGUCCGCACUGACACUCAAGGCAGAUUACACAGUGUGAGAUUAGUACUGUCAAUAUCAAGAAUAUUUCCAUAAACAAUGCCAUAGGGUAAGUAAAUACAAGUUGACAAAGACACAGCAUUAGCAGGAAUCCAAUACAACAUAGUGGUGAAGGCUAUGGUUCCUAAUUCAUUAGCGGAUCAUGUGAGAUCCCCUCCCUACAAUACAGCUCUAGUAUCUGAGUCAAAAGCCUUUUUGAAUAAUUUGGUAUUGCAUUGUUUGCAGAAAGCCAGGAGAGUGAGGCCUCUCCUGACCUCCUCAGGCAGGCCAUUCCACAGGGUAGGGGCCACCACAGAGAAAGCCCAUGUACGGGCUGCUGUUGAUUUUGCUGAAGUGUAGGGUGGCACCUGCAGGAGACGCUGUUUGGAAGAGCGAAGCUGCCAUGGAGGAGCAUAGGGAGGGAGAGGGUCCUGUAGGUA
Molecule: RNA transcript, 5649 nt
Organism: Eublepharis macularius
Lineage: Eukaryota; Metazoa; Chordata; Lepidosauria; Squamata; Eublepharidae
Gene: FILIP1L
Gene name: filamin A interacting protein 1 like
Exons: 8
Source: RefSeq, a predicted model, not a curated record